Molecule: ribosomal RNA, 536 nt
Filed under: uncultured bacterium
Lineage: Bacteria
Description: bacterial SSU rRNA
Rfam family: Bacterial small subunit ribosomal RNA
Source: RNAcentral
CAGAUUGAACGCUGGCGGCAUGCCUUACACAUGCAAGUCGAACGGCAGCACGGGAGCAAUCCUGGUGGCGAGUGGCGAACGGGUGAGUAAUACAUCGGAACAUGUCCAGUAGUGGGGGAUAGCCCGGCGAAAGCCGGAUUAAUACCGCAUACGAUCUGUGGAUGAAAGCGGGGGAUCGCAAGACCUCGCGCUAUUGGGGUGGCCGAUGGCGGAUUAGCUGGUUGGUGGGGUAAAGGCCUACCAAGGCGACGAUCCGUAGCUGGUCUGAGAGGACGACCAGCCACACUGGGACUGAGACACGGCCCAGACUCCUACGGGAGGCAGCAGUGGGGAAUUUUGGACAAUGGGGGCAACCCUGAUCCAGCAAUGCCGCGUGUGUGAAGAAGGCCUUCGGGUUGUAAAGCACUUUUGUCCGGGAAGAAAUCCCCUGCCCUAAUACGGCGGGGGGAUGACGGUACCGGAAGAAUAAGCACCGGCUAACUACGUGCCAGCAGCCGCGGUAAUACGUAGGGUGCGAGCGUUAAUCGGAAUUACUG